CUCUAGCCCGUGCAGGCACCUCUUCGUGGUGCUAGGGACCAGUAUUCGAGCGUUCCAAGAGUAUUCGGAGAAGCAAAGACCUGC
Molecule: non-coding RNA, 84 nt
Filed under: Penicillium rubens Wisconsin 54-1255
Lineage: Eukaryota; Fungi; Ascomycota; Eurotiomycetes; Eurotiales; Aspergillaceae
Source: RNAcentral